RNAcentral lists this ribosomal RNA (253 nucleotides) under uncultured bacterium. Its description in RNAcentral is "partial 16S ribosomal RNA". It matches the Rfam family "Bacterial small subunit ribosomal RNA", at positions 524 to 776 of the family's 1533-position model. The record is from RNAcentral.
UACGUAGGGGGCAAGCGUUGUCCGGAAUUAUUGGGCGUAAAGAGCGUGUAGGCGGUCCGGUAAGUCAGCUGUGAAAGCCGAGGGCUCAACCCUUGAAUGCCGGUUGAUACUGUCGGGCUAGAGUCCGGAAGAGGCGAGUGGAAUUCCCGGUGUAGCGGUGAAAUGCGCAGAUAUCAGGAGGAACACCGAUGGCGAAGGCAGGUCUCUGGGCCACUACUGACGCUGAGAAGCGAAAGCAUGGGGAGCGAACAGG